GAAAGAGUAAAAAGAAAAGGUCCAGGGGGCUGGGGCACUCAGUCCUGACACUGACCCUCCUGGGCUGGCCUCUGAGACAGACCGGCAUUGCAGAGAAACUGCUGAAUGGGAUCCGAUUGACCGGGGCAGGGAUGGCAGGAGUGAAAGAGAGAAGUCAACAACAAAACCAGCUGAACUCAGACGUCCACUGCUCUCCGCUGACCAGUGAUCUCCUGAGCCUUCCCUUCUGAGACCCGCCCUGCAGGCAGCACCUGGUCUUGGGAUGGAUGUUAGGAACCUCAAUUCCUCCCUAAAUCUAUUGCCAGAUUCACUCUAGUGCACCCGUAGGGCUGCAAUGUGGUGAAGAAAGCUGAGGACAUUUAGGGUGUCCCGACAGAGUGCCUACAGGAGCAGGAUAUACAUGACCCCAAACACGGGACACGUCCAUGUGGGCAGCCUACACCUCUCUGAACCUCUUGGUCCAAAGGAUAUCCCAGGAAGUGCUCAUCACUUGAUUGAGGAGCCAGGUUCACUGCUGGCGUCCUUCCCAAGGAUGCUGAAAUCUUUUAAAAAACUAAUUUUUCGGCCGUGUGGGAUCUAGUUCCCUGGCCAGGGACCGGACCUGCAGCCCCUUCAUUGGAAGCGUGGAGUCCUAACCACUGGACCACCAGGUUGCCUGAGAAGCCAGAAAACAGACCUCUCUGCCUAACCCAGGGCUUCUGGACCAGGGUCUCCAAGGGGAGCAGAGCAGAGGUAUUUGAAGCCAACCCCUUCAGGAUGCUGACUGUCAUAUCCCAAAUGAACACCAGGUGGCGUCCAGGCUCCGUGCUGGUCCUGGAGACCCCAGAGGCAGGCUCUGCAUUAAAAAAAUUUUUUUUUCCUUCUUGUCAUACUUGUCUACUGAAAAGUUGGCAGGGAAGUUUGUGCAAUGUGGAAUGUGGGGCAGUGACCUCAAUUGUCCUGCCCUGUGCAUGACAUGCCUUCAACAAUCCUGUGUUUGAUUGUGAAAAUCCAUGGAAAAUUUGUAUUUUACUCCACAACUGCUGUAUUUAAUAUAGAAAUAGUUACUUCUACAAAUUGCAAGUAACACUGGCCUCCCCCCGCCCCCAGGAAGUUGCACUGGCCCAUGUAGGCUUCUCAGCACUGCACAC
Long non-coding RNA from Bos taurus (domestic cattle), 1130 nucleotides. Lineage: Eukaryota; Metazoa; Chordata; Mammalia; Artiodactyla; Bovidae. The record is from Ensembl.